This is a small nuclear RNA of Ursus americanus (American black bear), 94 nucleotides long. The record is from Ensembl. NCBI's taxonomy places the organism in Eukaryota, Metazoa, Chordata, Mammalia, Carnivora, Ursidae.
GUGCUCAUGUCAGCAGCACACAUUCUAAAAUUGGAAUGACACAGAGGUUAGUAUGGAAGAUGACACACAAAUUUAUGAACCGUUCCAUAUUUUA